AGAGUUUGAUCAUGGCUCAGAACGAACGCUGGCGGCGUGCUUAACACAUGCAAGUCGAACGCGAACGAUUUUCUUCGGAGAAUUUAGUAGAGUGGCGCACGGGUGAGUAACGCGUAAGUAAUCUACCCUGGCAUCUGGGAUAACCCACCGAAAGGUGUGCUAAUACUGGAUACGCUGAUUUAUCAGGAAAGGUGGCCUCUGAUUUAAGCUACCGUGCUGGGAGGAGCUUGCGUACCAUUAGCUAGUUGGUAGGGUAAAGGCCUACCAAGGCGACGAUGGUUAGCGGGUCUGAGAGGAUGAUCCGCCACACUGGAACUGGAACACGGACCAGACUCCUACGGGAGGCAGCAGUGAGGAAUAUUGCGCAAUGGGGGAAACCCUGACGCAGCGACGCCGCGUGGAUGAUGAAGGCUUUCGAGUCGUAAAAUCCUGUCAGAUGGAAAGAAGUGCAUAUGUAUUAAUAGUGGAUAUGGGGACGG
Molecule: ribosomal RNA, 479 nt
Filed under: uncultured delta proteobacterium
Lineage: Bacteria; Deltaproteobacteria
Description: bacterial SSU rRNA
Rfam family: Bacterial small subunit ribosomal RNA
Source: RNAcentral